Numida meleagris (helmeted guineafowl) is the source of this 4597-nucleotide long non-coding RNA. RefSeq lists it as uncharacterized. The record is from RefSeq and is a predicted model, not a curated record. The transcript is spliced from 5 exons. Lineage: Eukaryota; Metazoa; Chordata; Aves; Galliformes; Numididae.
GGCGGGAAGUGCUGCCGGUAUGAGCUCCGCCCUACGGUGGGAUUGCGCCUAUGAUGGUGUGGCCCUCACGGUUCGGAUUCGUUUGCUUCAGAAGCAAAAUGGUGGACCUACUAAAGUUCGUUGUGGUGGGUGCGCGAAUCUCGCGGCCGUUCUGGAGCAGCAUGAGGUGCCUCAGGCUGGGACGAGAUCCAUCAGGCUGUAAGGCCCCGCCCGAUACCGCGCAGUGAAUUGUUCAGAGCCGGAGAAGGGAAAUCCCAACCACCCAAGUGUUUUCUUUCAAAGCACAGCAGGUUUCCAAAUUUCCUCCGGUCCUUAUAAGCAACAUAGGAAUGUAAUCUCAAACUCAGAAAAAAAAAAAAAAAAAAAAAGGAUUUAAUUCUUAAAGAGACUUCAGUAUAACCAGUGAUAUCAGGAGCAUAUUAUCUCCAGACUGAAUAACAACGAUCAAGGACAUACAGGACAAAAGAUGAGGGAAAAUGGUCAAGCCAGUUCUAGCAAAUUCUACAAGCUGGCUUCCCUCAGCACAAUCAUGGAGCACAUGGUAGAGAUCCUCAAGCAUGUGGCAGAACUUCCACAUGACAGGACCACACGGAGAUGCAAGCUGAAGAUUAGAGCAGUACAGUGAUCAUUCUGCUUCUAGUUCUGGUAUUAAUUAAAAAAAAAAAUCUCUUUUUAAAAGUCCAGAAAGAAUAGUCAGGAAAGGUGUGGUUACUGCAAAUAAUGCAUUCUGCCCACAUGAUGAACUGAUUAGGUUCAACUCAGAUAUUACGGGUGAGAUUGUAGAUCUGCUGUGACUCCCAGUCUCUACUGAGUAGACAGCAGGGAAAUUUCAUCUUCCUCAGACUCAGAAAUACUCCGUUCUCCAUGCAACAGGAGGCUUGCACUAAAAGAUUUUAAUUUUGAAACAAUUAAGACAUCUGCCUUAAUGCACAAUUACAAGUAGAGCAUAAAAUUAAGAGGUGCAAGUGAUGGCUUGGAAAACGGUACAUGAAAUAAAAUAAUACCAUCCUUUAUCCUGUUGCUACACCUUCAGCUGGAAUGUUAUGGUUAGUUCUGGCCACCCUAACUUAAAAAAAAAAAAAAAAAGGGCUAUGACAAAAAUAGACUCAAUCUACAGAUAAGAUAGACAAUCAUUAACUUCCUACUAAAGACUGAAAAUACUAAAGAUGUUUAGUUAAGGGAGAAGGUAAAUAAGAUGGCUUGAAAUUUAUGAGAUUAUUAAGGAGAAAGAAAAGAAAUAGCUCUCCCAUAUCAUACAAAACAGAAGAUAUCAGCAUAAAAUUUAAAAAUAAAAAGAAAACUAGAAGAAGGAAGUAAGUAUAAAAACAACAUCAAUUCUACAUUUGUAGACUAGGAUGGUAGUUUACUAGAAAAGCUGUUGGGAUAAACUACAUAAAAAACAAUACUUAAUUUAUGAAACUCAGCCAUAAGGGCCUGCAAGACCAAUUAUAAGCAAAGUUUAAAAGUUGUUUACAUACAUAUGGAAACAUAUAGACAGCAGUGGAGGGCAAGGGAUGGGGCAGGGCACGCCUAGUGUGUAACGCUGGUGAAAUCAUGUUUGAUGUUCCAGAUGACGCUGUGAAGUUCCAGAAAUCAUGGGAGCUGGCUAUAACCACGCUAGUUUGGGUACAGCUCUCAAGGUAGCUUAACAGCCCAGAGCUUUGCAUGAUGUACUUAUCCCGUGUCACUGCAGUCAGUAUGUAACUCAGCUAUUUCUGCAUGAUCUGCAGUCUCACCUCUGACUACACGGUCACUACAACAUCAACAAUUCCCUCAUCAAAUUGUCUCCCAAGGGUAUAACAUAAAGUCAAAGACCUCCAACUGAUGAGGGCAGACAGAUUUGCUACAGAUCUCGCAACCUACUGGCCACGUAAAUCUACCAAGGAAGCAAAGAAAACUCAUUUCAGAGAAGUCCAACUCUGGAAAACACACCACUUUCAUGUGACAUGGGAAACUACGUCAGACAACAGAGCGAUCCUGCAGUGUCCCACUACAUCACCUGGUCCAAUUUGGCCAGUUAUUGCCACAGGUUUACAGGAACUGGCUUAGAGAUGGAAGUGUUACAGUACAUUGCCUUGAAGGGGAGUGUGGGCUGAUAAUGCCCUGGAGCAGUGUAUCAGAGGUACCUUUAUCAGGUGAUCUUUCAGACAUUUACAAACAGUAAUUAAGUACUGCACCACCCUUGUGAUGUAGGGGUAAUUUCUCACCCCCCAUUUCACAAAGCAAGAAGCCAGAGCACACAUGACCUGGAAAAAGAACCUUCUGCUCUCAUAUCCCAGACUGGGUCUUUAAGCACUCCUCUGUGUUUCUUUGCCAUAGCCAGUACCCUAAACAUACCCCCCCCAAGGAACACACUGAACACAAAGGGUCAAAUCUGGGAACCACCGAACAAGAACAGUGAGGGUUGCUCACAGCAGUAUGGCAUCUUGGGGAGCCUAAUGGAUAAAUCAUGGCUAUUCUCCCAGCUCCCGCUAGGGCUGGGAAUUAGAGUUGGAAGGAGGCUUGUAAAACUCUCAAGUAUUUCCUUCAAGUCAGAACUGCCAUUCCCAUGUAUCUCAUCCUACCCCUUUCAAAGGGAUUAAAGCCAUGGAAGGAAACUCCCUUCUCCAAAGCCCUCUGUUCCCUUUGUAUACUUGUGAGAAGACAAAUAAAUCUGCCUAUCAGCAAAUCGUUCAAGUAAAUUUAUUGUCAUCAUGAAAUGACUUUGCCUAGUCUUAGAUUAAGAUCAACAAUAAAUUCCUGACCACAAAGACACGAAAAAGGCCAGAGCUCUCCUUACUCAACAAGUGUAUCUUCACUGCAUCUCUCAGCAGAUGUAUGUUUUAACAAAGGGUUUGUAAAAGGAUUGGGAAGCUGUAGGCUGAGAGGGAAGCAAUGCCAAGUGGCAUUUGAAAAGGACAGAGGGCUAGAGGAAAGGACAAAUUAAAUAUGAGGAGUGAAGAUUGCUGCUCUGUACCAUCAGAAAACACAAAAACAUUUCACACCCAACUGCUGGCAUUAAAGCUUGCGGCCUCUCCUGUUUCAGUCAUUGGGAGAGAAUAAAAGGAACUCCCUGCUGGAGUCAUCUGGCAUUGCUGCUUUGGCUUUAGCACUAUUUUGCUUUGGAGUAGCUGAGCAGCCAGGUCUCUGCAAAAGCUGGAUCACUGACAAGCCUUUCCAUUUUACCAUAAAUAAAGUGAGCUCACUGUGGCAUUGCAAUUGGACCCUUUUUUGCCCAGAUAAUUUCCCAGGGAUUUUGGUUAAGGAGGAUUAAGUAUUGACCUCCUCAGGGUACCUGACAGAAACCACAGCUUUUGCUUCCAGACAUAAAUCUCUAUCAGCCCGGGAAAAAUUCCUUCAGUCUCUUCUCUCCUGGCAGACAGAAAUUCUGCUUGACUCUCUCCACUCCAGCAAUCCCACCUCAUAGGCAUCCUCCUUUGCCUAGGCCUGAGCAGUAUGACCUUGUGGAUUACCAGAGGGUCUCCGAAGUAAAACUGCUGAAGUGCUGCGUUUGUCUCAAACAUGAGGUGAUGGAUCACAGAUCACAGAAAAGAGAUCACAGCAGAUCACAGGAAGAAUAUCCUGUAAAUCCUGGUAAAAAUAAGGAUUAUUCUGAAGUACUUCUCACUACUAGAGAUACCAAAACACAGGUGUGACUUAGCAGCACUAUUGCCCACACAAUAGGAAAGAAGCAAGAGCACGAAAGUUAGGAGAACCCACUUGCAAAGGCACACAGAUGCCUGAAGAUACACACCAUUUCCAAAAGGCAGUAAUAAAUAGCACGUAGGUUCUUUUGAGAAUUGAGGACAGCACAUUUAUGGUAAGCACCCAGCAGCUAAAUCCUUACUAGAUGAGAGCAUAGCAUUUCCUGUCACCUUUCAGUGGUCUGGUCUCAUUCAAAGUCUGGACUAAACAGUCUUCAUUGCACAACAGCGAAGUGACAGAAUCCUUAUGACCAGCUCUAUAUUCAUCUUUCUGGUCCAUAUUUUACCAUAUUAUUUUUAAAGGCAAGAUUGAAAAAAGCAAGUUUUGCAAAGUAAAGGCUAUUAAAAUAUCAGAGUGUCAGUGUGUUUGAUAAACAGGUUCUAAGUUAUAGUGCACGUGUAAAGCUAUCAUAUAACUCUGACUCUUGGUGCAACAGACAUUUCACCUGCAAUGCUUUCCUGUUUGAAUGGAAAAAAGGAGCACUUGGAGGAAGAGAGUAGGAAAAAAAAAAAAUCAUCUUAAACUUAAGAAAGCCUCCAUGCCCAAGAUGGAGAGCAACAUGACAUAGUGCCUCAGCAUAAUCACUUUGGUUAUAUCACCCUUCAGUUGUUCCGUCCUUGGCAGGCUUUGCCAGAAUUUUCCUGAUUUAAACCUGAGUAAAACGGAGAAGAUACAUGCUUGUAAUUGGGAAAUACAUGGUGAAGAGGGAGGAGGGACCCACCCCCAGUGCAGCAUGGUUAAACACGCCAGGCUGACUUAGAUAAUGUGUGCGGUUACAAUUUUUCACCUGUCUGUCCAGCUGCCACCAGUCCAGCAGUACAUAACAGUGGGAGUUGUUCCUCAGUGGCAAAGGGAUGGCUCACACAAGGAUGUGUGCCUGGAUUUUAUCCUUAUGACAUUGUUAGCAUUGAUU